UGCCAGACUCCUACGGGAGGCAGCAGUGGGGGAUAUUGCACAAUGGGGGAAACCCUGAUGCAGCGACGCCGCGUGGGUGAAGAAGCGCCUCGGCGCGUAAAGCCCUGUCAGCAGGGAAGAAAAUGACGGUACCCAAAGAGGAAGCUCCGGCUAACUACGUGCCAGCAGCCGCGGCAAUACGUAGGGAGCGAGCGUUGUCCGGAAUUACUGGGUGUAAAGGGAGCGUAGGCGGGGAUGCAAGUUGGAUGUUUAAACUAUCGGCUCAACCGGUAAUUGCAACCAAAACUGCAACUCUUGAGUGAAGUAGAGGCAGGCAGAAUUCCUAGUGUAGCGGUGAAAUGCGUAGAUAUUAGGAGGAACACCAGUGGCGAAGGCGGCCUGCUGGGCUUUAACUGAGGCUGAGGCUCGAAAGCGUGGGGAGCAAACAGGAUUAGAUACCCUGGUAA
Molecule: ribosomal RNA, 446 nt
Filed under: uncultured bacterium
Lineage: Bacteria
Description: bacterial SSU rRNA
Rfam family: Bacterial small subunit ribosomal RNA
Source: RNAcentral